ACAGUACAAACUGAGCAGGCGAUGAACCGACAAGGUCAUGGGGCCGGGCCGCCGUGUGCGGCAGCAGAUGAAAUGUGUUAUGACAUCUGUGGGACAGU
Molecule: non-coding RNA, 98 nt
Filed under: uncultured Faecalibacterium sp.
Lineage: Bacteria; Bacillati; Bacillota; Clostridia; Eubacteriales; Oscillospiraceae
Description: NiCo riboswitch
Rfam family: NiCo (Nickel/Cobalt) riboswitch aptamer
Source: RNAcentral